RNAcentral lists this ribosomal RNA (361 nucleotides) under uncultured Latescibacterota bacterium. RNAcentral's name for it is "bacterial SSU rRNA". It matches the Rfam family "Bacterial small subunit ribosomal RNA", at positions 1023 to 1382 of the family's 1533-position model. The record is from RNAcentral. Lineage: Bacteria; Pseudomonadati; Candidatus Latescibacterota.
AGGCGACCUGCACAGGUGCUGCAUGGCUGUCGUCAGCUCGUGUCGUGAGAUGUUGGGUUAAGUCCCGCAACGAGCGCAACCCUUAUCCCCAGUUGCCAUCAGGUAAAGCUGGGAACUCUGGGGAGACUGCCGGUGAUAAACCGGAGGAAGGCGGGGGAUGACGUCAAGUCCUCAUGGCCCUUACAUCCCGGGCUACACACGUGCUACAAUGGCAGGUACAGAGGGCUGCGAAGCCGCGAGGUGGAGCGAAUCCCAGAAAACCUGUCUCAGUCCGGAUUGAAGUCUGCAACUCGACUUCAUGAAGGCGGAAUCGCUAGUAACCGCGAAUCAGCAGGUCGCGGUGAAUACGUUCCCGGGCCUU